Molecule: ribosomal RNA, 254 nt
Filed under: uncultured bacterium
Lineage: Bacteria
Description: partial 16S ribosomal RNA
Rfam family: Bacterial small subunit ribosomal RNA
Source: RNAcentral
UACGGGGGGAGCAAGCGUUGUUCGGAUUUACUGGGCGUAAAGGGCGCGUAGGCGGUCAGCACAAGUCAGUUGUGAAAUCUCCGGGCUCAACUCGGAAAGGUCAACUGAUACUGUGCGACUAGAGUGCGGAAGGGGCAACUGGAAUUCUCGGUGUAGCGGUGAAAUGCGUAGAUAUCGAGAGGAACACCUGCGGCGAAGGCGGGUUGCUGGGCCGACACUGACGCUGAUGCGCGAAAGCCAGGGGAGCGAACGGG